Molecule: long non-coding RNA, 1428 nt
Filed under: Fukomys damarensis (Damara mole-rat)
Lineage: Eukaryota; Metazoa; Chordata; Mammalia; Rodentia; Bathyergidae
Description: lncRNA (ENSFDAG00000022824.1)
Source: RNAcentral
UGCCGCCGGGAGAGGUAGCUGAGCUCUGGACCGUGUGGCUCCGAGGUCCGGAGCUGCCCCCAGUCGGGUCGCAGGCCCCAGUGGCGGCGGUGCGUUUCGCAGAGGGCGCGGGCCUGGCGCGCUGCAUCUGAGCCAGGAUGCUCUUUUCUUGCCCUGCAGUUGCCUACCCCGACCCCUUAGAGGGUGGAGAUUCCUCCCGCUCCUUCCGGCUGCUCCCGGAGUCGGAGAAAAGAUGUGGAAUUAGGCUGGAGCGAAAAUUCCGCGUGCUCUAUAAUUACGCACACACUAAAAUCUUCACCGUUGACUUAAGUUACUUGGCGCUGCGAAGGCUGCGGCCCUGCAUAUUGAUUAAACGCAGGCUCUAUUUACCUAAACAAUUCAUGUAGAGAUUAGCAACGUUCACUUGAUCACAAGAAUGGGAUUGACAAUUAAGGGGCAACACAUCCCAGAUGUAGCGGAGCCUCUGGAAGGCGAGAGGGUGAGCGGCAGGCGGCUUGCUGAGGGGCGCUCCGGGGACACUGGCAGCGGCCACCCGAGCGCAGGGGACAGCGGGAAAAGCGGCGCGGAGGCACGGCAGGGACUAGGGGAGGCCUAGCUGCGUCCCGGCCACCAGCAGGCCCGGGAGGGAGGCUCGCAGCUGGUUUUGAGGGAGCUGCUCCCCCCACCCCGCGCCCCUAGGCAUCUGGAGCUCCGAGCCUGCCUCCCCGCGGCGAUGUCACCUGCCUCAAGCCGCCCGGCUUGCGUAUCCCUGGCUGGGAAGGAGCACGGACGCUGCUGCCUGUGUCCGACACAAACAAAAGGAUUUGUCCCAGACACCCAAGAACAAGCCAGGACGAAGCUCUUUCCCGCCAAACGAAGACCGGGAAGUGAACAGCGCCUGCCCAGGCUCCGGAAGCCAGAGCCGGGAGGACAGGGCGGUAAGAGAAUCUGGGGGACCGAAGGAGGGAGAACCCCAGAGCUGGGGAGAGGAGGCUGGGAAAAGGAAGAGGGAGGAGGAAGGGGGCGAGGGGACGUUGUAAGGGUCCCCUCCCCCAUUUCAGAGCUGAAGACGGCCGAGGAGGAGGACGAAGACGAAAAGGCAAAGGAGAAGGAGAAGGAGGUGAGACAAAGGGAUCCCCCCUCCUCUGGGACGAGGAAAGUGCGCUCAUCCAUUCCCUGCAGGCUUUGGAAAAACUGGCAGAGAUCUCGCCGUGAGAAGUCACCCACGACAGUCUGCCGCAAACGGACUCAGGGCCGGGCAGGAGGGCGGGCUCGAGGGCGGGGGCCAGCUUUGAUCCCUGGGCUCUGCGGUAAUUUUGUCUUUGCCACACAGAUUAGCUGGAGGAGCCAGCCCCGGCGGCGAGGAGUUCCGUUCCGUGGAGUCCCCUAUUUCAGAGCUGAAGAGAGGAGGACGAAGACGAAAAGGCAAAGGAGAAGGAGAAGGAGGUG